This 69-nucleotide transfer RNA is filed under the name Protohermes basimaculatus. Its description in RNAcentral is "tRNA-Met". It matches the Rfam family "tRNA". Rfam says of the family: Transfer RNA (tRNA) molecules are approximately 80 nucleotides in length. Their secondary structure includes four short double-helical elements and three loops (D, anti-codon, and T loops). The record is from RNAcentral. Lineage: Eukaryota; Metazoa; Arthropoda; Insecta; Megaloptera; Corydalidae.
AAAAAGAUAAGCUAAGAAAGCUAAUGGGUUCAUACCCCGUAUAUAAAGGUUUAAAUCCUUUUCUUUUUA